CCUACGGGUGGCAGCAGUGAGGAAUCUUGGUCAAUGGACGAAAGUCUGAACCAGCCAAGUAGCGUGAGGGAUGAAUGCCCUAUGGGUUGUAAACUUCUUUUAUAUGGGAAUAAAAUGUUCCACGUGUGUGAUUUUGUCUGUACCGUAUGAAUAAGGAUCGGCUAAAUCCGUGACAGCAGCCGCGGUAAUACGGAGGAUCCGAGCGUUAUCCGGAUUUAUUGGGUUUAAAGGGAGCGUAGGUGGAUUGUUAAGUCAGUUGUGAAAGUUUGCGGCUCAACCGGACAAGUGCAGUUGAAACUGGCAGUCUUGAGUACAGAAGAGGUGGGCGGAAUUCGUGGUGUAGCGGUGAAAUGCGUAGAUAUCACGAAGAACCCCGAUUGCGAAGGCAGUUCACUGGACUGCAACUGACGCUGAGGCUCGAAAGUGUGGGUAUCAAACAGGAUUAGAUACCCUGGUAGUC
This 460-nucleotide ribosomal RNA is filed under the name uncultured bacterium. Its description in RNAcentral is "partial 16S ribosomal RNA". It matches the Rfam family "Bacterial small subunit ribosomal RNA", at positions 338 to 795 of the family's 1533-position model. The record is from RNAcentral.